UAGAGUUUGAUCCUGGCUCAGGAUAAACGCUGGCGGCGUGCCUAACACAUGCAAGUCGCACGUCCUCUUCUUCUUCGGAGGAAGAGGGAGUGGCGCACGGGUGAGUAACACGUGGGAACCUGCCCUCAGGUGAGGAAUACCACCGGGAAACCGGUGACAAGACCGCAUAGGCUCCCGAUGGGGAGCAAAGCGCUUUCGCGAGAAAGGGCGCCUGGGGAUGGGCCUGCGGCCGAUUAGCUAGCUGGUGGGGUAAAGGCCUACCAGGGCGACGAUCGGUAGCUGGUCUGAGAGGACGAGCAGCCACACUGGGAUUGAGAACGGCCCAGACUCCUACGGGGGGCAGCAGUGAGGAAUUUUCGGCAAUGGGCGCAAGCCUGACCGAGCAACGCCGCGUGCAGGAAGACGGCCUUCGGGUUGUAAACUGCUUUUCCCAGGGACGAGGAAGGACGGUACCUGGGGAAUCAGCUCCGGCUAACUACGUGCCAGCAGCCGCGGUAAGACGUAGGGAGCAAGCGUUGUCCGGAGUAACUGGGCGUAAAGGGCACGCAGGCGGUGCGCCGCGUUGCCACUGACAGCUGUCGGCUUCACUGACGGAGGAGUGGCAAAACGGGGGCACUUGAGCCUCAGAGAGGGAGACGGAAUUCCGCGUGGAGCGGUGAAAUGCGUAGAGAUGCGGAAGAACACCAAAGGCGAAGGCAGUCUCCUGGCUGAGAGCUGACGCUCAGGUGCGAAAGCCAGGGGAGCGAACAGGAUUAGAUACCCUGGUAGUCCUGGCGGUAAACGAUGACCACGAGAUAUGCGGGGGAUCGACCCCCUGCGUGUCGGCGCUAACGCAGUAAGUGGUCCGCCUGGGGAGUACGGUCGCAAGAUUAAAACUCAAAGGAAUUGACGGGGACCCGCACAAGCAGCGGAGCGUGUGGUUUAAUUCGAUGCAACGCGAAGAACCUUACCAGGGCUUGACAUGGCGUUGAACGCGCGAGCAAUCGCGUUCCCCUCGGGGCAGCGUCACAGGUGCUGCAUGGCUGUCGUCAGCUCGUGCCGUGAGGUGUUGGGUUAAGUCCCGCAACGAGCGCAACCCCUGUCGCCGGUUGGUAUAUCCGGCGAGACUGCCGCGAUCAACGUGGAGGAAGGUGGGGAUGAUGUCAAGUCAGCACGGCCCUGACGUCCUGGGCGACACACACGCUACAAUGGCGUCGACAAUGAGAAGCCAACCCGCGAGGGGGAGCCAAUCUCAGCAAACGGCGUCUCAGUUCGGAUUGCAGGCUGCAACCCGCCUGCAUGAAGUCGGAGUUGCUAGUAACCGGAAGUCAGCACAUUCCGGUGAAUACGUUCCCGGGUCUUGUACACACCGCCCGUCACACCACGAAAGUCGGUCAUACCUGAAGCCCUCGGGCUAACCCUGCGGGGAGGCAGAGGUCGAGGGUGGGGCUGGUGAUUGGGGUGAAGUCGUAACAAGGUAGCCGUA
This is a ribosomal RNA of 1465 nucleotides. It matches the Rfam family "Bacterial small subunit ribosomal RNA".